Molecule: ribosomal RNA, 442 nt
Filed under: uncultured bacterium
Lineage: Bacteria
Description: partial 16S ribosomal RNA
Rfam family: Bacterial small subunit ribosomal RNA
Source: RNAcentral
CCUACGGGUGGCAGCAGUGGGGAAUAUUGGGCAAUGGGCGCAAGCCUGACCCAGCAAUGCCGCGUGAAGGAAGAAGGCUUUCGGGGUGUAAACUUCUUUGACAGGGGAAGAGCAGAAGACGGUACCCUGAAAACAAGCCACGGCUAACUACGUGCCAGCAGCCGCGGUAAGACGUAGGUGGCAAGCGUUGUCCGGAUUUACUGGGUGUAAAGGGCGUGUAGCCGGGAAGGCAAGUCAGAUGUGAAAUCUGGAGGCUCAACCUCCAAAUUGCAGUUGAAACUGUUUUUCUUGAGUACUGGAGAGGCAGACGGAAUUCCUUGUGUAGCGGUGAAAUGCGUAGAUAUAAGGAGGAACACCAGUGGCGAAGGCGGUCUGCUGGACAGCAACUGACGGUGAGGCGCGAAAGCGUGGGGAGCAAACAGGAUUAGAUACCCUAGUAGUC